GGCUUAGAGUUUGAUCAUGGCUCAGGAUGAACGCUGGCGGCAUGCCUAAUACAUGCAAGUCGAACGAGGCGGAAGGAAGCUUGCUUUCUGAGGCCUAGUGGCGAACGGGUGAGUAACACGUGGGCAAUCUGCCCGUAUGUCGUGGAUAACGGUUGGAAACGACAGCUAAUACAGGAUGAGCAUCCCGAAGGCAUCUUUGGGAUGGAAAAGGGGCCAAGGCCCCGCAUACGGAUGAGCCUGCGGUGCAUUAGCUGGUUGGUGAGGUAACGGCUCACCAAGGCGAUGAUGCAUAGCCGACCUGAGAGGGUGACCGGCCACAUUGGGACUGAGACACGGCCCAAACUCCUACGGGAGGCAGCAGUAGGGAAUUUUCGUCAAUGGGGGGAACCCUGAACGAGCAAUGCCGCGUGAGCGAAGAAGGUCUUCGGAUCGUAAAGCUCUGUUGUAAGAGAAAAACGAGUGCCAUAGGGAAUGAUGGCGCAGUGAUGGUAUCUUACCAGAAAGCCACGGCUAACUACGUGCCAGCAGCCGCGGUAAUACGUAGGUGGCGAGCGUUAUCCGGAAUCAUUGGGCGUAAAGGGUGCGUAGGUGGCACGAUAAGUCUGUAGUAAAAGGCAGCGGCUCAACCGCUGUUGGCUAUGGAAACUGUCGAGCUGGAGUGCAGAAGAGGGCGAUGGAAUUCCAUGUGUAGCGGUAAAAUGCGUAGAUAUAUGGAGGAACACCAGUGGCGAAGGCGGCCGCCUGGUCUGCAACUGACACUGAAGCACGAAAGCGUGGGGAGCAAAUAGGAUUAGAUACCCUAGUAGUCCACGCCGUAACGAUGGGAACUAAGUGUUGGGGAAACUCAGUGCUGCAGUUAACGCAUAGU
RNAcentral lists this ribosomal RNA (868 nucleotides) under uncultured bacterium. Its description in RNAcentral is "bacterial SSU rRNA". It matches the Rfam family "Bacterial small subunit ribosomal RNA", at positions 1 to 865 of the family's 1533-position model. The record is from RNAcentral.